CAGACACAAGCCGACAUGUAGGCUAGUUGUCAUAAACAACUACAGGACGGGAACGCUGACUUGUAAUAAUGAUGUUAUAAGCACAUGUCAAACGGUAAUUCGCUCAGGGAGAACGAGCAAUAUUUGUCACAUAUCGAGGGGAGCACCAGCACCAGGGUCUGACUGACAAGAGACCGAAUCUGAGAACCAUCGACCUUCACGCAAAAUUCGCCUGGAAAAACAGAAAGGAAAGGCAACUGGUGGUGGGUCAGAAGAGACUCCCUUAUCCUCGGUGUCAUAUGCUAGUCGACUAGUAUUUUUUUUUUUUCAAUUUAAAGUUUUAUUAAGUUAUCUUGUUUUUCAAUCAACCAACAAAACACAUUCCACAUUCACAGAUGUGACAGGCAUAAAAAGACUAAUAUUUUCUUAUGCAUUUUUACAAAUUGAACUAGGCAAGCCAGUUAAGAGCAAAUUCUUAUUUCCAAUGACGGCCUACUCCAGCCAAACCCGGACGACGCUGGGACCAUUGUGCGCCGCCCUAUGGGGACUCCCAAUCACGGCCGGAUGUGAUACAGCCUGGAUUCGGUCUAGGUACUGUAGUGACGCCUCUUGCACGAUGCAAGACCGCUGCGCCACUCGGGAGCCUGGUAUGUGAUUGCGGCAAGUGUCCCCACUGCCAAAAGAGGUUAAUCGAGCUGGGACAGUUCACUCAGCAGCUGAGUAAUAUUCACCCCAACGUUCUGGCCAAGCACCUUCAAAGAGGUCUGAUUCUCCCACACCCAGAGCUCCCUGUCAUCAAUAAGCCAUAUGGAGCUUCUGCUCAAGGUAUUGGGUGUUGAGGCAAUGUAUUUACACGCCUAUUACAUUAUGGUACAUAAGGCUUAUAUGGUCAAACACACAGUCAAGGAUUAUAUCAUGAAAGAGAUUGUUCAUUUGAAUGUCACUUGUAAAAAAAAAUACACCCUAAUACCCUGAAGUGUUUUAAAAAAUCACUGUGAUUUAAAUCCAAUAAUCUUCCCCCUAAAUGGGUCAAAGGAAUAUCAUGGACGUCUUCCAGUCCUUGCCAAGGUGAUGGCUGGCAUGAGGGCAGAGCCCCACUCCCAGCUGGAAGUCCGCCUUGGAUUGGACAAGGAGACAACAGAGACACUCUUGCUGGCAAGGACUGAUGAAGCACCGGACUAUGUACAAAACCUCCACAAAAAACACCAAGUGGAGAGGAAAUAUUGGUGUGUGGAUGUCUGUGUUUAGAGAUUCAGUUUAAGAUAAGGAUCCAGGCAGCACAUCAUAUGGCAUAGAGUUUUUGUAAUGACCCUGCCGUUGACAUCUAGCUCCCUAGUUUUCUUGGAGCAGCGGUGAUGUGUCUGUCUGGCUCUGGACCCAAGGGUUUUUGAGCUCAAUUCACACCUCAAAUCUAUUUUUUGGGGUUGCAUACACAUAGCAGACGUUAUUGCGGGUGUAGUGAAAUGCUCGUGUUCCGAGCUCCGACAGUGCAGUAGUAUCUAUCAAGCAGUGACGUAGCCUCUGAACCUCAUGCUACUUCCUGGUUUCCUUACACUUUCAGUCAUCUUCCUUUUCCCCUAUUCCCCCAUGCAGCAUUGCUGCUGUGGCCCGUUCCCUCUGAGGGGAUGAUUUGACAACCCUCAUAGAGAGAGAAUUCCCCUGGGCUCAGGCUCACUUCAAGAUAGGCCUGAGUCCUGUGUACAGGGUGAGUGUCGGCGGCGAGGGAGUGACUAACGUGCAGGCCAAUCGGCAGGCCCAGGGGGCAGUGACCCAGUACGCGCCCUGGACAGCAGCAAUGGCUGCAGCCUUGUGGAGCUCCAGCCCAUCACAGGGGUGAGGAUCCACACCCCAGCAUACGCUCUGGGGUGUCAUAUCCUUGGGGACCACAAAAACUUCCACCUUAGAAAUUGCUGGAUGGUUUGUUACCGAGCCUGGGAUUGAAACAAAGCAAGGCACGUCGCCUUCUUCCCUAACCCUGCACGCACGUCAGCUGACACUGCCAGUGAUAUCACUGUGUCCUGCCCCCUGCUGAAGUACUUCACCACCAGCACCAUGCGACGACUGCAGAUCCCCAUUCCAGAUAAGAGGAUGAAUGGUGCAUCAGCGGCUCCUCUGCAGAGCAGACAGGAUACAGAAGACUCUCUUAAAAUCAGAAAUACGGAGCGGCAUCACUUCAAGUGACCUUUGACCUAAUGGUUGUCCCAAGUUCCAAGAGCUAAGGCCUGACUGAAAUUCUUAAAAAGCCACACACACUCAUUCACAGUACAAAGGCACGUUUGGGGGGAAAAAACAGACUUUCUUAUUUAGCCUCCAACACCACUAGAAUAUCAAUACAUACAGGAGAUCAUAAAUGCCAAUAAAAAUACAUGUAAAAAAAGAAGAAAAGU
Long non-coding RNA from Oncorhynchus kisutch (coho salmon), 2366 nucleotides. RefSeq lists it as uncharacterized. NCBI's taxonomy places the organism in Eukaryota, Metazoa, Chordata, Actinopteri, Salmoniformes, Salmonidae. The transcript is spliced from 4 exons. The record is from RefSeq and is a predicted model, not a curated record.